This is a non-coding RNA of Klebsiella pneumoniae IS46, 79 nucleotides long. The record is from Rfam. NCBI's taxonomy places the organism in Bacteria, Pseudomonadati, Pseudomonadota, Gammaproteobacteria, Enterobacterales, Enterobacteriaceae.
GGAGCAGCAACGAUGUUACGCAGCAGGGCAGUCGCCCUAAAACAAAGUUAAACAUCAUGAGGGAAGCGGUGAUCGCCGA